Homo sapiens (human) is the source of this 570-nucleotide long non-coding RNA. NCBI's taxonomy places the organism in Eukaryota, Metazoa, Chordata, Mammalia, Primates, Hominidae. The record is from Ensembl.
GUAACCUUUCUGCCAACAUUAAGGCCAAGUAGGUGCAAAUUAAGCUUAAAUGACUUCUUUUAUCUGCUGGCUCGUGGGCCAGCCCCGUCCAGUGGCUGAAUGAAAAGGAGGAAGGCCAGUGCUGUCCCAUUUGCAGGCUUCAAUGAGCUCGACAGCCCUGGGAUCUCAGAGAGCAGAGAGCUGAUCUGGUUGCAGGGACUUCAAAGACAACAGGCGCAGGAGCCCACACUGCCUCAGACUGGCCAUGGCCAAGCCCCGGCUGGAUGGCACAAUGCGAGGCCUUCCCUGACGGCCAGGCCCGUCCACCCUCGGUCUGGGGAGGGGGUUGGCUGGGAGGUGGGCAGCGUCUUCCAGUGGUGAAGAUGAAGUCACCCAAACGAAACCCUUCUGCCUACAAUUAAGAGUGCAGUUUCUCUGCACAGAAGGUGGAAAUCGUGUUUUUAUGACCAGAGCUUCCUUCUUCCCAUGACUUCCCCUUAUAAGAUUGUGUCUUCUCUGGGAACAAUUAGAUAUUAAUUAUGCGGUAAAUGCUUUUUAUAGUGCCAAAGAUUCUAUAUAUGCCUGAAAGAA